RNAcentral lists this long non-coding RNA (2108 nucleotides) under Marmota monax (woodchuck). The record is from RNAcentral. Lineage: Eukaryota; Metazoa; Chordata; Mammalia; Rodentia; Sciuridae.
CCUGCCUCUCCUGUGUCACACCUGCAAUUGUAUCUCUGGCCUCCUAAGGCUUCCCCCAUUCUGUGACUGUCAGGGCCCAGUUUUGCUAAGCAGUUCAUUCUUAUCCUCAACACCAACUCCUUGUCCUUUAAGCAGUCUCAUAGACUUGUUCCUGGGAGCAUUACACAUGCAAGAAAUGUUUGUAAUGGAGCUGUCUCCUUCAACGGCAUCAAUAUGUAUUUCAUUAUUUCUUUCUUUCAGGUUGGUGGUGUGGAAUAGAGGACGAGGAGGCAACUUCUGAGCAGAGUGUUUCUGUAAGAGGAAGUGUCACAGAUUAUGACUCCCAAGUCAGUUCUAUCUCUCCAAGAGACCAACCUCUGUGAGAUGUGUGGCCUUAUCUUAAAAGACAUCCUUCACUUGGCUGAGCAUAAGGAAGCACACCACAAGCAGAAAAUGUGCAUGUGUUGAGCAUGUGAGAAACAACUCUAUUUCAGUACAAAUUUUCAGCACAAGAAUCAGCAUAUUGAAGAGAAGCCAUUCAGAAGUGAUAUGGGCAGAACCUCAUUUGUGAAGAACUGUAAAUUCCAUGAACCAGGAAGGCCUUUAUACACAGGGAGGUUGGAAGUGAUUUCCUGACCAGCUUGGAAUUUCUCCAUCAACAGUCUUCUUCCUGUGGAAAAGUCAAAUAGCAAAACCAAGUAUGGUGCUGCCUCUCGCAGGAGAAAGCUCAUUGUAACUGGGAAGAAUGUGAUGAAGUGUUCAUCCCCAAACACACACUUACUUGUUCAGCAUUAGAGAGUCCUCACUAGAGAAAGAUGUUACAUGUGCAGAGAGUGUGGGGAAUCCUUUACCCACAGCUCCAGUCUCAUUAAAUACCAGAGUACACACUGGAGAAAGACCUUAGAAGUGCUCAGAGUGUGGCAAGUCCUUUAGCCAAAGCUCUAACCUCUUUCAACAUUGGAGAGUUCACACUGGAGAAAGGCCUUAUAAGUGCUGUGAAUGCAGUAAAUCCUUUAGCCAGAGCUGCAGCCUCAAUAACCAUUGGAAAGUUCACCCUGGAUAGAGGCCUUUUGAGUGUGGGGAAUGUGGGAAAUCUUUAUCCAAAGAUCCAACCCAAUCUAACAUCACAGAAUUCACACUGGACAAAGGCUUUUUAAGUGUAGUGAAUGUGGGAAAUUCCUUAGCCAGAGCUCUGCACUCCUGCAGCAGCAUAGUAUUCACACUGGAGAAAGGCCUUAUUAUAAGCAGUUCAUUCUUAUCCUCAAAAUUCUUUACCUACAAUUCCAGUGUUCUAAACUACCAGAACAUUCACACUGGAUGAAGGCCUUAUCAGUGCAGUGAAUGUAGGAAAUCCUUUGGUCAGUACUGCAGCCUUAUUCUACACCUGAGAGUUCACACUGGAGAAAGGUCUUAUGGGUGCAAUGAAUAUGGGAAAUCCUUUAGCCAAAGGUCUGCACUCCUUAAACACCACACAGUUCAUACUGAAGAAAGGCCCUAUGAGUGCAGCAAAUGUGUACUUCAACUUCAGAGACCAUAGGAGAGUUCACACUGGAGAAAGGCCCUAGAGGGUCUUAAGUGUGGAAAAAUCUUAUCCAAAGCUCUGGCCUCAUUCAACACCAGAUUUCACUCUGGAGUAGGGCCUUAUAAAUGUUUUGAAUAUGAGCAAGCUAUCAGCCAAAUGCCUUUCCUCAGGUACCACAAAGUUCACAUGGGGAAGACACCUUAAUGUCCUGGAAGUUGGGUGCUUUCUUGUUUAAUGCAAUGGCACUGGAGGAAAUCCCUUAGGAUGCCAUUUGCCUGAACUGAACCUGAUUCAUUCACACGUCCACAUUAAUUCCAGGUGUGGGGGAAGCUUGAAGCUUUGUGCUGCACUUCUAAACCUGUCCAGGGUCUUUGCCCAAGUGUUAGUCACCUUCAGUACUAUAACUGAAGCCGUGUGGCCUCUAUCACCUGCCAGGCGCCCACAGUGUGUGUUGGUACUCCUAUUGCAUAGAGAAGUGGUUAGUCUUUGCUUUCCCAACCCAGAGCAGGAUUUGUGAGAUGACAGCAUUCACUCCCAACGUGUUAAGGUCUGGGUCUGACUCAGNGGUUAUAUCACUCUAGUAUCCUGAUUUUAGUUCUUUUGGUUA